RNAcentral lists this ribosomal RNA (111 nucleotides) under Bacteroidia bacterium. Lineage: Bacteria; Pseudomonadati; Bacteroidota; Bacteroidia. The record is from RNAcentral.
UAUGGUGUCUAUUGCAUUGGUGUCCACCUCUUCCCAUUCCGAACAGAGAAGUUAAGCCCAAUUGCGCAGAUGGUAGUGCGGUUUACGUGUGAGAGUAUGUCGAUGCCAUAU